GACGAACGCUGACGGCGUGCUUAACACAUGCAAGUCGAACGGAAAGUCCCUGUUGCUGUGUGGUGCUCGAGUGGCGCGCGUGUGAGUCACACGUGAGUCUCCUGCCCUUGACUUUGGGAUAACUUCAAGACACUUGGGCUAAUCCCGGAUUGGAGCUCCUCCUGCAUGGUGUGGGUUGGAAAGUUUCGCCGGUUGGGGAUGGACUCGCGGCUUAUCAGCUUGUUGGGGUGGUAGUGGCCUACCAAGGCUUUAACUGGUAGCCGGGGUGAGAGGGUGAGCGGGGACACAGGGACAGUGAUACGCGGCAGACACUCACGGGAGGCAGCGGUGGGGAAUAUAGCACACUGGGCGGACGACUGAUGCAGAAACGCUGUGUGCGGGAGGACGGGGUUCGGGUUGUAAAAAGUGUUCGCCUGUGAGGAGGCGUGAGUGACGGUAAUGGGUAAAGAAGCAACGGCUAACUACGUG
This 468-nucleotide ribosomal RNA is filed under the name uncultured bacterium. RNAcentral describes it as "partial 16S ribosomal RNA". It matches the Rfam family "Bacterial small subunit ribosomal RNA", at positions 28 to 507 of the family's 1533-position model. The record is from RNAcentral.